AUUGAACGCUGGCGGCAUGCUUUACACAUGCAAGUCGAACGGCAGCGCGGGCUUCGGCCUGGCGGCGAGUGGCGAACGGGUGAGUAAUACAUCGGAACGUGCCCAGUCGUGGGGGAUAGCUCGGCGACAGCCGGAUUAAUACCGCAUACGACCUGCGGGUGAAAGCGGGGGAUCUUCGGACCUCGCGCUAUUGGAGCGGCCGAUGGCAGAUUAGCUAGUUGGUGGGGUAAAGGCCUACCAAGGCGACGAUCUGUAGCUGGUCUGAGAGGACGACCAGCCACACUGGGACUGAGACACGGCCCAGACUCCUACGGGAGGCAGCAGUGGGGAAUUUUGGACAAUGGGCGAAAGCCUGAUCCAGCAAUGCCGCGUGUGUGAUGAAGGCCUUCGGGUUGUAAAGCACUUUUGGCGGGAACGAAAAGGACUGUGCCAAUACCACGGUUCGAUGACGGUACCCGCAGAAUAAGCACCGGCUAACUACGUG
This 484-nucleotide ribosomal RNA is filed under the name uncultured bacterium. Its description in RNAcentral is "partial 16S ribosomal RNA". It matches the Rfam family "Bacterial small subunit ribosomal RNA", at positions 29 to 507 of the family's 1533-position model. The record is from RNAcentral.